GAGUGAAAUGAUGCUUAACCAUCUUUCGGGACUUACCCAAAAUCUGGGGAUAUCAUAUUUUAUCACUGAUCACUC
This is a small nucleolar RNA of Oryzias javanicus (javanese ricefish), 75 nucleotides long. Ensembl annotates it as small nucleolar RNA, C/D box 2. Its record names the gene SNORD2. The record is from Ensembl. Lineage: Eukaryota; Metazoa; Chordata; Actinopteri; Beloniformes; Adrianichthyidae.